Molecule: long non-coding RNA, 3337 nt
Organism: Mustela erminea (ermine)
Lineage: Eukaryota; Metazoa; Chordata; Mammalia; Carnivora; Mustelidae
Exons: 2
Source: RefSeq, a predicted model, not a curated record
UGAAAUCAAGAGUUGGACGCUUAACCUACUGAGCCACCCAGGUGCCCCUUAACUCACAAAUAUUUUUGAGAGUUACAAAGUUCUAGAACCUAUAAAAUUCAAGACCUUACACUUUCUUUAAAGAUUAUAUUUUUAGGUAAUCUCCAGACCCAACAUGGGGUUCAGACUCACAACCCCAAGGUUGUGAGUCACAUGCUCUACCAACUGAACCAGCCAGGGUCCCCAACGACCUUAUACUUUUAUUGAUACAUAUUUAAAUAAUUUCAGCUGAGAGCCAUAUCUGUUAAGGUAAAUUAUGAGAACAUUUUUCAACAAAGCAACUUUUUAAAGCUAUAUAUUUGUUGAUUUCUGCUUCAUUGAACUUAAUGACAGAAAAUAUUCCCCAAAUCUUCACUUUUUGUGUAUGAUCUUAUUUACUCUUUGCAUCAGACCUAUGAGAUAGUUAGAAUCUUCCUGCCCUAUAAAUAGGGAAACCAAGAUUUUGAAGGUAAAGUAAUUUGUCCUAGUGCACAUGACCAGUAAACAUCAGCGCUUAGUUAUAAAUGGAGGUUGUCAGACUCCACUGGGAGGUCUCCAAAGUGCGGGAUCCCAGUUGCUAUAAAGAGGAGGUCAGUAAAUGCUUACUGUUGGAGACUCCAGCACAAGCUAGAAUAAAGAAGCAAUUUAGAUGUACCUACAACCACACUCAGACUAGAAAAAUCUAAUACAUCUUAAUGCAACAGGCACCUAAAUAAAAUGAAAUAUAUCUGACUUAAAAAAAAAUUUCAAGCUGAUAACUUGUUUGUCCCAUAAUUAUUUUGGUAAAUCUUUACUCCAGACUCUAAUUCUUACAUUAUCUGAAGAAACCAAUUCUGUGGAAUCAAAGUAAUACAUGUACAGUAACAUAUUAUUCAAGAAACAGAAAGGCGCCAUUCCAGUCAUAUAAAGGAUAAUAAAAACAUCAAGAGUCACGUCAAUCAAGGGGGUCUGUUGACUGGCAAACUCAAUCUAUGGAUGGACCCAAUUAUCUGCAGGAGAAUUGAUGUCAGCAUCAUUUAGGGUUAACAAUGGACCAACGAGGCAGGAGCAGACAGCUACUCUCUGUAGAGACCCAGAAAGCAAACUUGGUAAUGAGGCUCUUCAUUCAUCAUAUCAUUCUGCUCUAAUUAUUAAAGUGAAUAGGAAAUACUUUAAGUUAAGGCGGGAACUGGAUAACAUAAAAACAUUUGUUUUGUAAACACAAAGAAUGCUUUUUUUUUUUUCUAAUGAUCCUCUUCAAAUCUACAUCAGACAUAUGUUCCCAGUACACUGUUUUCUAAAGUUGCUCCUCUAACACCUCAAAUUCAUGCUGAUUACGAAUGGGUUAUUUUUGUUAUCUCAAAAAGGGAGGGUAAGACUGCUAAGAGUCUACAAUUUUAAUUUCUACUCUUCAACCUAAAAAAGAUAGGGAGAGGGUCACAAGUACAUAUGUCACCAUAGUACAUGGUCCACUGCCAUCAAUUACAUCAAAAUAGCCCAAAUAUAUCUACCUGCCAUUUCUAAAAGUCCUGAACACUCUAAUUUUACUUACUCUGGUUCAUUUUUUCUUAAUCAAUCAUUUGAUCCUUAUCAAGUGAUUGUGAAAGAACAUGGUAGAAAAAAAUCCAGGAAUGUUUUGUUUGUACAACCUUUAUGUAAGUAAAGGCAUAUACUGCCAGCCAUUUAAAAUUGCCUGGGAUGGAAAUGAUUUGCUUAAUGAGGAUAAAAAGUAAAGUCUAAAAGGAGAAAAGAGAAAGGAGGUGAAGAAAGUAACUGUUGCCAGAACAAAAAUUAACUGAAGUUUGAGAAAAGCAGUCAUGAGACCAAAGGAAGGUUCCCUGGAGAAAAGUGUGGUCUCUUCAGUUCGGUUUUUCAGUGUUUUCAACCGACAAUCUGUAGCUAAAUUUUUUUUCUAUGAAGUUUGUUCACAGAGCCAUUUUGUAUAAAUGUUCCACAUAAUUUUUUUCUGAGCUAUGGUUCUUUACUUUAAAGUAAAUGGAAGAUGGUUAAGCACGGUAAGGUUUUUAACCAUCCCUGCCUGUUCUACUGAAGUUAAUGUUCAGAAGUAUCCGCAGAUACUACUUUUAGCAACUAAAUAUUUCCAUGGUGGUAAAGAAAUGUCAGUAAAAUCUAUGUACUUUAAGAACAUCAAAUUCUUAUUAUACUUAUCAUGUGUGCAGGCAGAGUACAUAAUAAACUAGUCUAUAGCAGCUGUAAAUUUCUGAGGAUUUAUCUAACCACAAAUACAUUGAAAUGGGGAAAUAGGGCUAUAUUAAACCAUGCAAGAUGCUGCUGGAGUUUUGCCAUUUCUGCAACAUCCUGUAAUUAAUUUAUCAUGACAGGUCUGGCAAACUGAAACAUCCAAUACACUUGCAACAGACUGUUGUACCAUAGUUGCUGGAGAUCCUGCAGCCACAUAAAGUCAAGGAGGUUUGACGGUCACUUGCCUCCUGGUAGUCUCUUGGACACAUGCUCUUCCUGAAGAGAAGACUCACAAGACCACCUCAUCCAUCUGGGUGCCCUCCUCUUCUAGAAGUCACAGUCCCGCCAUUUUGCAAACUUCGAGCACAGAUAAAUUCAGUAUUUAUCCCUGCUCCAACAUCCUCCAAUCUAAAGAAAGAAAAUAAUGUAAUAAUGGGGUGGGGAUUUUUGUCAAAAUAGAUUUUCUUACUAAACAGUGAGAUCCUGGGUCCCUGGCUGGGUCAGACUCGGCAGAGCAUGUGACUCUUGAUCUCAGGGUUGUGAGUUUGAGCCCCACGUUGGGGGUAUAGUUUACCUUAAAAAAUAAUAAUAGACUCUGAAAAAAACACAAUGAGUUCUUUGUCAGUUUGUAUCAGUGUGAAAGAAUGAUCCCCUCUUUACUUGGUGUGUCAUCUGAUACAGGUGUUACCGUGGUUGAUGCUAAGGAUAGAUCUUAGUAAACAAGGCUUCUUGCUAGAGAAGUAGAGAGGUACCACCACUCAUUAAAAUAUGAAAUCUACCUUGUACCAAUGUCCACAGCCUUGCCCAUAUCCUUUGGAAGGUCAGUAUUCCUCAGACCACAAACAAGAGGACCCAAUGGGGUCUUCCUUGAAUCUGGAAGUCUCAGUGAAAGGGGAUAGUUCUCAGGUGGUAGACGGUAAGACGGGUGUUGCUCAAUAGAAACAGGUAAGAAGCCAAGCAAACACAGUGGUUCUAGUUCCAGCCCAGUCACCAAAGGCUAACUGUAAACACUUUAUGCUAUUUGUAUUUUCUCUAGUGGUUGUCUAUUUCUUGCUCCUUACUAUAUUGAAAAUGGAUCGUAUCUCAGAGGACCUGACAAGCUUGUGCUUGGGCCUAAGUUUAAAAACAAACAAACAAA